RNAcentral lists this ribosomal RNA (253 nucleotides) under uncultured bacterium. Its description in RNAcentral is "partial 16S ribosomal RNA". It matches the Rfam family "Bacterial small subunit ribosomal RNA", at positions 524 to 776 of the family's 1533-position model. The record is from RNAcentral.
UACGUAGGGGGCGAGCGUUGUCCGGAAUCAUUGGGCGUAAAGCGCGUGUAGGCGGCUCGGUAAGUCCGGUGUGAAACCUUGGGGCUCAACCCCAAGCCUGCACUGGAUACUGUCGAGCUCGAGUCCGGGAGGGGAGAGCGGAAUUCCUAGUGUAGCGGUGAAAUGCGCAGAUAUCAGGAGGAACACCAAUGGCGAAGGCAACACUCUGGGACGUGACUGACGCUGAGACGCGAAAGCGUGGGGAGCAAACAGG